AUUCCAGCUCCAAUAGCGUAUAUUUAAGUUGUUGCGGUUAAAAAGCUCGUAGUUGGAUUUCGGGCGUGGAGGUUCGGUCCGCCGUUUCGGUGUGCACUGUCUUUCUGCGUCUUUCUGUCGGGGACGCGCUUCUGGCCUUAAUUGGCUGGGACGUGGAUUCGACGAGGUUACUUUGAAAAAAUUAGAGUGUUCAAAGCAAGCUAAAGCUCUGAAUACAUUAGCAUGGAAUAACGCGAGAGGACUCGGUCCUUAUCUUGUUGGUCUUCAAGGAUGGAGUGAUGAUUAAUAGGGACAGUCGGGGGCAUUUGUAUUCAAACGACAGAGGUGAAAUUCUUGGACCGUUUGAAGACAAACUACUGCGAAAGCAUUUGCCAAGAAUGUUUUCAUCA
RNAcentral lists this ribosomal RNA (389 nucleotides) under Pseudoscourfieldia sp. RNAcentral's name for it is "partial small subunit ribosomal RNA". It matches the Rfam family "Eukaryotic small subunit ribosomal RNA", at positions 582 to 975 of the family's 1831-position model. The record is from RNAcentral. Lineage: Eukaryota; Viridiplantae; Chlorophyta; Pseudoscourfieldiophyceae; Pseudoscourfieldiales; Pseudoscourfieldiaceae.